RNAcentral lists this transfer RNA (75 nucleotides) under Propioniferax innocua. RNAcentral's name for it is "tRNA-Pro". It matches the Rfam family "tRNA". Rfam says of the family: Transfer RNA (tRNA) molecules are approximately 80 nucleotides in length. Their secondary structure includes four short double-helical elements and three loops (D, anti-codon, and T loops). The record is from RNAcentral. RNAcentral also lists the same sequence under 27 other names. Lineage: Bacteria; Bacillati; Actinomycetota; Actinomycetes; Propionibacteriales; Propionibacteriaceae.
CGGGGUGUGGCGCAGCUUGGUAGCGCGCGUCGUUCGGGACGACGAGGCCGCAGGUUCAAAUCCUGUCACCCCGAC